Long non-coding RNA from Labeo rohita (rohu), 4290 nucleotides. RefSeq lists it as uncharacterized. The transcript has 3 exons. NCBI's taxonomy places the organism in Eukaryota, Metazoa, Chordata, Actinopteri, Cypriniformes, Cyprinidae. The record is from RefSeq and is a predicted model, not a curated record.
CCAUCAUGUGCAUCACGUGCAGUCAGGAAAUGGACCAGGUGCGCUGAGCAGACAUGCCGAAGGCGAACUCUUUCCUCGUGUAAUCUGCUUCAUUUCACGUUUGUCUGCAACAUCUCAUUCAUAUAGUUGUGCGUGCAUAGAAAAACCACAGUUUUUACCACCUGUAAAUGCUUUACUGAGAUUCUGGAGUCUGGGGUGAAUUCAUCAAGUUACAUGUCAUUAUACAGUUCUGACUGACUGUCUGCGGAGAUUCGAAUCUACUCAAAUCAGUAUUAAAAUUUGAAACCUCAAUUACAAGAGCCGAGAGUCAAACUGCCCAACUAAAAGAAACACUAAUCACUAUAAUGGUAAGGAAACUUUUUCAAUCAAACAACAUCUAAACCUGUUAAAUAAUUGAUUAUUUAACUCUAAAUAAUCUUGUGUUUCCCAUAUGAAUGAACCCAUGUGUUUAUUUAAUACUGGGGAAUUUACUGUGAAGAAAGAAAGACAUGAACAUUUUGCAUGACGAGGGUGUGAGGACUUUAUUUGUACAUUUUUGUUCUGGAAGUGAACCACUCCUUUAAACAACAGUGGGAGUUGGAUGUCUGCCUCACAUUUGGAGAUGAGAUCUGGAGUCAGAUCUUGUCCCGUGUCCACACCUCUUCUGUUUGUGCACAACACAGUCUUAUCCAAUUAAAGUGUAUUGAAUUUGAGAUUGUAUGAUAGUUUUCAAUAUUUUUACACUUUUUAUGAGCUAUUUUUCCCCAUUUAAAUUCAACUUUGAAUCUUUUAAUUUCUGGGUCACACCUGGUACUUGAAAUGUAACUUUAUUUAUUUAUCUAUCUAUCUAUCUAUCUAUCUAUCUAUUUAUUUAUUAAGGACAAUCAAUGUAAUAUAUUUUUAUUCAAUAAUAUUUUAUAACUAUUUUUGAAUAAAAAUAAUGCUUUUUGAAUCUCCUCAAAAAGCUAAAUAAUAAUCAUAAAAUAUUAUUGAACGAAAAUAUAUUAAAUUGAUUAAAUGUAUCUUUAUUUUCUUCAAAUAUGAAGAAAGUCAAAGUUUAAUUUUACUGGAAAAAUAGCUAAUUUAAAAUUUUAUAAAAAAUUAAUACUAUCAUAAAAUCUCCCCUACAAUGCAAAAUAAUAAUCAAAAAAAUAUUAUUUAACAAAACUAUAUUAAAUUGAUUUUCCUAAAAAAAAUAUAUAUAUAUAUAUAAAAAUAACAUAAAAAAAAAUACAAGUACCAAGCGUGACCCAAAAAUAAAGAGGCUCAAAGUUUAAAUAGCUUUAAAUAGAAAACAAAAUACCUCAUAAAAAGUGUAUAAAUAUUGAAUAGUAUUAUAAAAUCUCCUCAAAAUGAUGAUCACGGUACGGACAUCUCGGUUCGGUGCAUGUGGCCUUAUAACGAAUACAGGCAAUUCACACUCAAUUCAUAAGGAGUGGUAAUGAAAUGCUGUUUUAUAACUGCCAGCAGAAGAACAGCGAAUGCCGUGAGUUGCACACUUGAAAACAAAGACCACUAGACAGUGACCAUGUGCUGAUUCUGAACACGUCUCUCACUGACAAAUGAGUAUACUUUAAGACUUGUGCACUCAACUGUUUGUGAAAUGGAGCUUUGUGCUCGUGUAUCCUACCUCUCUCAUUCGGCACAAGUCCAAAUAUUCCAUAAUAUUUCCAUAUUUGCGAUGUAUCUGAAUGCUAAACUAUUAGGUAAUUAUAGGUUUUGUACUUCAGUCGUGUUCCAGCGGUGACACAGAGGCGGGUGCGCUGAUGUUUGGUUCACUGUAUUUUAUUUUGACAAAGUACCAACUGUGCUGUCAAGUUAGCAGUGCUGGAACUCAUAUGUUUUGUGUGUAUGUGUGUGUGCACGCGCCGGCAUGAUCACUUUAGCUGUUUCCUUAUACCAGCAGAAUCAAAUUAAAACACUCCAUUUAUUGUCUUAUUAAUAAUGCAAAACUGUAAAAUGGAUGUUGCUUCCAGCUUUGCUACUGUUCGGACGCUCUUGCUUACUGCUCCGCACUUUGCUCCCUGUUUAUAUACUUUUCUCAGAUUUUUCUAAGAUUUUAACCUCAGCACAGUUGCCUACUUUCAACAGAUGAGAAAGAAAAUGCCUCUUCUGGAAUCUACUUGCUGCACAAACUGCCACAGACUUCUACAAAGGAUUGUGGUUCUUGAAACAAAGUUACUUGCUGGACUUCAAAACAGGUGGAACACUCAGCAGACCAUCGUCACGGACCCCCUCAGCAUACAGCCGUGAGCCCAAUAAACCUAUAGUGAAUCUCAAUAGUUUAUAAGUGUAGAGGAACAAGCCUGAAAACUGAUCAACACACUAAUCAAUGGCACAAACAGGGAGCGAGACACAAACGCACUUGAGACAUCAGAUUGUCACAAGUAUCUCCUAUUGCUGCGGUAGCAUCCUCUACCCCAGAUAUGGCUAUGAUAAGGCUUGCAAAAACUGGUAUUUUACUAUCUCCUAUACAGCUUGAGAAAAGAUUUGAAGCACUGAUGAAUGUGGGUGAGGAAUCCCUAAAUGUGAUUGAACAUGGAUCGUAUCAGUCAGCAGCUAACAUCACUACAAACAGGUGCUCAAGGUCGAUCAGACAGCGGCAUUCAGCUCAGAGCACAGCCGAGCCCAGGACUCUGAUAGUGGGUGACUCCAUUAUCAGAAACAUCAGUAGCAGGACUACAACUACAUGCUGCUUUCCUCAAGCAACCGUCUCUGAUGUGAACAAGGAACUUCGGAACAUUCUAAUGAAGCACAAGACUGCAAAUCAAAUCAUCAUCCAUGUGGGGAAGGAUAAUAUUCAGAAAGAGCAGUCAGAACCCCUGAAGAAGGACUUCAGUGAACUCAUCGAAACACUUUGAAGACUUGAAGUUCAGUCGUUCAUCAGUGGACCGCUCCCAGCAAGGGGAACUAACAUGUUUUCACGGUUGCUUGGGCUGAAUACAUGACUACAAAGAACCUGCAGUCUAAAAGGAAUGAACUUCAUCGACAACUUCAGUCUUUUCUGGGGCCAUAGUCAACUGUUUAAACUGGAUGGCCUCCACCCAAACAAACUUGGUGCAGAAUUGCUAAAGGACAACAUCUAUUUUUCACUCCGUCAUCCUUCAGUGGAGUGUGACAGUCCGCUACAUGAUUGACACACACACACCUGGACAAAGUAUGAGUGACCACAGGACUUCAAAUCACCUUCAGAGUCAUCAAGUGGUCGACACAUCCCACAAGGACACUGACAACGCCACACAGCCACAACAAGCACUGCUCCUGGACACUAUCCCAGCUGAGCCCUGCCCACAGAGCUCAUCACAGACAGACUGUGACGUUCUACAACAGCUCCAAGACUCAGCGCCGAAGGACGACUUUCUGGUAAACAGCCAGGGAAGCAAAGACAACAUAUUUCAACCACCGGAAACACCAGAGCCAGAGCCCCGCUCACCAGACACAUUAUCCCUCUCUCCAGCAUCUCCACUUCUAAGCUUCUCACUGAAAAUGGAGGAACUAGUAUAUGCUGGAACCAGACUCUCCCACUCUUUUGCUGCAGAGCCCCCAGAUAUCAACUUAAAAAACGGCGGGCACCACAACCACCAAAGCCUGUGGACCCAGCUCGCCCUCCUCCUCCUUCAAGAGCUCUCCGGCCGCUGCCACAAUGCCAGGGCCCAAACCUUCCUCCAUCUGCUGUAGGUGAACCAAAAACAACUGAUAACAGCUCUCAGUGAUAUGUGUCGGGUCCCCGCUACAAUAGCAGCAACACUCAGGGAUGUUUACAGAAAAAGCGGGAACCCAGUGUGCCUGUAACUUUCUCUGUCUCUGUUUUAUCACGUGAUAGAAAGUCUAAGGCCUUCUUAAGCCGUACAGCUGACCCAUCUAAUCUGCGGCCUAUUAGGUAUUAUACUAAGAGUGCUCUAGAGACAAAACGUAAUGGCAUCAAGUUAGCAUUUUUAAACAUUUGCUCACAAAAAAAAAUUAUUUGUGAUCAAUGAUUUAAUAACCACAGACAACCCAACCCAUUCUCACUCCCGAGGCGUCAAAAACUGCAGAACGGUCAAGUGUCUCUAGCGUCACUAUGAAGAUGUCAACAGCGCCCCUCGGCGUCACUAUAUCGACGAACUGGGACAUACAUUGAUUUCAGUGGGAAACUUUUGGCGUCAGAACACAGACUCGAAGGACAUGAGAUGAUCGCUAUGAAAUCACGUUCAGGAAGUCUCAUUCAGCACACAUGGCGAUAUUUGCCAUUAGUUUACGUGUGCGGCAGGUUGGCUGAGGAGGCCUAAAGGAAGCCGUCAGCCCAGUCUUGUUUGUGGAGAGGUCUUCAUU